AUCCAGCUGACGAGUGCCAAACAGGGCGAAACGAUCGUCCUGUAU
Molecule: non-coding RNA, 45 nt
Organism: Schistosoma curassoni
Lineage: Eukaryota; Metazoa; Platyhelminthes; Trematoda; Strigeidida; Schistosomatidae
Source: Rfam